Non-coding RNA from Manis javanica (Malayan pangolin), 2319 nucleotides. The record is from RefSeq and is a predicted model, not a curated record. Lineage: Eukaryota; Metazoa; Chordata; Mammalia; Pholidota; Manidae.
CAGCUCUGGAAGAGCCCGCACCCACCCCGCUCCUGGGGAUUUCUUGUGCUUACCCGUAAGGGAAUUUACAUAAAUACGUGGGCAAAGCGGGACGGUGGCAGUCCCUAGAGGCGGCUGCCGUGCACGGUGUCGGGCAGUGCCAGACGCUGCAGCGCGGGGGUGGGUUUCCUCGGCACACAGGGUCCCACAGUGAGCUCGGAGCCACGCACACAGCUAGGGGCGGAGGUACUCUGCCUGAUCCGUGGGGCUUUUGGAGUUCGGAUGCAAUUGCAAAAGGAGAGAGUGGCCAGGACAGAUGGGCGGAGGCGGCGCAAAGCCCCCGGAAUGCGAGGCCAGAGGCUCUGCGAGGCUGCCCCGCGGUCCGAGAGCAGAAUUUGAAGUCUCCACUCCCCACUCCACCUCCACGCCCACUGCCCUGGAGCAAGAGCAGCACCAAGGAGCCACUCUUUAACUACACCAAGUCGUGAGGGGCAGAAGACUCCCAGCUGCACCUGGCUUACAGACACACGCCACGGGCUCUUUAGAGUUGGAGGAGACAUUAGAUUCUGGUCCCAACUCAAGCAACAGUGGAGCUAGGUGAGGUCUCUGUGUGUCCCCCCUCUCUCCUCCUUCCCUGAAGAAUGCACUCCGAAGGACAGAUUUGAAGAUCUUUCUGGGGUGACUGCUGUUAAUUCUUGUUUGGGAAAGUGUUAAUUACUGCCAAACUGGACCCGAGAGAGCAUGGUCAGAUUCCCCAGCAUCUCUAGUCCUGCAGAGUUCCUGUUCUGCCAGGCAUCAGUCUGAGCCAUUGCUGCUGUGGCUCAUGUGACAGCUACCGGUGCCACCAAAUGUCCCAGAGAGUGACCCCAUCAAAGAGGACAAAUGGGGCCACUCCCCACAAAGCCACCCUAACUCCAGAGUUGCUGCUUUGCUCUCCAGUCCCAUUGCCCCAGAAUCCAGACAUCCCAGUACUCCUUGAGGAGACUGGCCUCCUGGUAUCUGAUGCAGGCCCCUGGAGCAGUCCUCACCUGACAGAACUCACUGUGAACUGGAUUUCCUCUCCUCUUGGCCCCAGGCAAUAUCACCUGCGCUGUUCUGGGCAGGGGACCCUGAACUCCACCCAAAUCUAAUCACCUCUCUUGGGCCAGCCAUAAAGGCCAGGGUACAACCCCGGAUACCUCCACAGCUAGAACACUCUAGAAGCAGCUUCUGCUUGGGGCUGUGUUUUCUUGUCUUUGAAUAGAAGCCAGUUUAUGCCAAGAAUGUCUCCAGGACUGUUUCCAUUGACAAAUAUUACAUAUUUGGGACAAGCUGUCACCAGUAACUAUUCCUUGCCCAUUUAAAUUAGUUAAUACACUUGAUGUAUUUGAAACUGUACUAGACAUAGGUGAUGUGGAAAAAAUGGUACUAAAAUUAUGUGAUUCUCUGCUCUGGAGGAAGUUACACUUGAGUUUGGGAGGUGAAAUUAACAAAUAAACAAUAGUAAACGACCCAAGCAGAGACAGAUGCAGUGCUAAAUGGUUUAGACUCUAAGUGCUUUAAGAGUUUAAAGGAAAGAUGGGGGUAGACGGCAGGAUUUCUAUUACUUAGAAUUGGUUAUUCAGAUUUUUCCUACCCCUCUGCACCCUCCAUGGAAGGGGAGAGAGGCAGAGCGCUGGGGGGGGGGCCCCUCCGAGCGCUGGGGGGCCCCUCCCGCUGCCGGCGCAGUGUGGGUGUGAGGGUCAGAAGCACAGAAGAGGAGGCCCUGGUGGUCACGGGCAGACGAGGGCUCUGUCCCGGCCCCACUCCAGACCCAGACGGCGCCGCCACUGCCCGGUGCCCAGGUCCUCUCCCUGGAUUCCUCUCCCACGCACCCGGGCUGCCCACGCACCCAUGUCCACUCAUCGUGCCAGGCUAUGACGAGGCAGCGUUUCCCCACUGAUGAUGGCUGCCUGGAGUUGCAGUCAGAAGGGAAAGACAUAAACAAAACAAACAUUCAGCCAACCACACUCCUGUACUGUUUCCUCAUUUCUUCAUUUACAGGAAACCCUGAGAUUGGCAUAUGAACAUCCUGCAGGAAGGACACCUGCCCUCAGUAAUUAGCUCAUGUGCCGCGGUGACAGGCCAGUGCGGGGCUGUUAGAGUUGCGGCCGAGCAGGUUGUGGAGCUUCCAGGAGCAGCUGGAGGCCUGCGGGGGCCCUGGCGGCCACAGGCCCGCCGCCACGUGCUUCUCCUCUUGUGAAUACAGCUGCCUCGGAGGUUAGGUUACCACCGCGCUUAUUCUCUGUGACUUAUUUUGAGUAAUAAGAUCCUUUUUCAGAAAUUUAUCAUUUUCUUAUUAAUAAGAAAUUGAAAAAAUUG